UACAGAGGUCCCAAGCGUUGUUCGGAUUCAUUGGGCGUAAAGGGUGCGUAGGCGGCGCGGUAAGUCGGGUGUGAAAUCUCGGAGCUUAACUCCGAAACUGCAUUCGAUACUGCCGUGCUUGAGGACUGGAGAGGAGACUGGAAUUUACGGUGUAGCGGUGAAAUGCGUAGAUAUCGUAAGGAAGACCAGUGGCGAGGGCGGGUCUCUGGACAGUUCCUGACGCUGAGGCACGAAGGCCAGGGGAGCAAACGGG
RNAcentral lists this ribosomal RNA (253 nucleotides) under uncultured bacterium. Its description in RNAcentral is "partial 16S ribosomal RNA". It matches the Rfam family "Bacterial small subunit ribosomal RNA", at positions 524 to 776 of the family's 1533-position model. The record is from RNAcentral.